AGAGAGAGAGCUCUUCCAGUCUUUAAAUACAGACACUGUGGGACAAGACGAGGCCUUGACUCACUGCAGCGAUCACAUGACCACACUGGAACACAUUCAAGGGCAAAAACCAAUCUACAGACAUUCAGCCAUGGAACACCCUGACUUUGAACUUCCUGUCCGUGAUACAAUUUCCUCAUUGCAUAAAAGUCUUUGACUUGACUUGACGUUAGAGUAUGAAGGCCUGGAUUUGACCCUUGGAACCCAAGUGGAAAAAGCUGGGCUUGGUGGUGUGUGCUUGUAAUCCCAGAGCAGGCCAGGCAGGGACAAACAGGUCCCUGGGGCUUGCUGCAUAGCCAAUCAGAUCCACUUGGAGGCAUGGCUUCUGGGGAAUAAUACCCAAGGCUGAUUUAUGACCUCCACAUGUGCGUGUACACACACCUGUAGACCCACAGGCGCACACACACACACAAACACACACAUGCAUGCACACACACACACACACACUCAUGCACACACCUCUGACUUUGAGCUUCUCUGCUAAUAAGUACUGGAGGGGAGGGUGGACAGAGAAAAGGGGCGGAGCCAGAGGCACAGGCUUGGCUGCUGGAACAGAGACGCGGAAAGCUCAGUCAGUGUGUGGUAAAUAUGAAGUCAAACGGUCCUCACUGCAUCAUUGUCCAUGCGGUCUCACCAGCAUGAUGCGUGGGUCAUUCCAGGCCCAGGGUACAUGGGCACAUCUUCUCCAUCCAUGAGCUGUCACUGCUGAGCCAAUGGAUGGGGAGGGCACGAAGCUCCCUCAGUCCUCUGGGCUGCUAAUGACACUCAUCACUUCUACUUUAGUCCACUGGCCAGAGGCAGCUACGUGGUCCCUCCACAUGAAGCCACUGCCUGUAUGAUGGUUGUCCACCCAAGAGAGGGCAGGGGCCUGGAACCAUCAGUUGAGGGGUCUCUGUCAUCAGCUCUGUGAUGGGUUUAAGCUGGGUCUUUGUGGCAGUGAUGGCCAAGAACGUGUGUGUGUGUGUGUGUGUGUGUGUGUGUGUGUGUGUGUGUGUGUACGCGCACUCGUGUGCGCGUACGUGCAUGUGAGAGGCCAGAGGCUGACUUCGGUUGCCUUCCUUAAUCACUCUCCAUCUUGCCUUUUGAAACAUGGUCUCCUACUGAACCUGGAGCUCACUGAUUGGCUAGGCUGGCUGGCCAAUGAGCUCUAGGGAUCCUCCUGUCUUCACACUCCCAGCCCAUGGUUUCAAAUGUGUACGCUGUGUCUGGCUUUUUAUGUGGGUGCUAAAGAUUUGAUGUCAUGGUCUCAUGCUUGUGCGGCAGGCAGUUUAGUGACUGAGAUAUCUCUCCAGCCCUGGAAAGGGGGGCUUUGAGUGAGUGGUGGGCACAGCAGGUGUUGAGGCUAGGUGUUGAUCCAGAGGAGAACCCAUUGGGUGGGGUCUGCACUCAAGAUGGAGAGGUAUAUAAACACGGUUAAGAAGAAUGAGAAUAGAGAGCCUGGAACUUGUGUCAACCUGCCUCUGCCCUGAGUUCCUCAUGGUUAGGAGCUGCGGUGUGAGCAGGGGCAAUCUCUCAUCAGUUAAGCACCUAGGACUCAGGAUGAAUCCACUGGAUCCCACACUGGAUCCUACACCCCGGGUAGAAGAUAAGGCUCAUCCCUUUGAGGGUGAGGAUUAGAGGAAGGAAGAGUCACAAACCCAGUCAGCAAGACACACAGGAAAUGUCAUUGUUAUCUUGCUAAUGAAAGGACUGCUUUCAUCCUCUGGAUUUGGGCAUGUUAGCUUAGGGCGACUGUGCAGAACGGCCCAGCAUCUGCAGAUCUCUGCUGCUGGGAAGCUGAGCUGGGGAGAGCCCUGCCCACAGAGCGGGGAAUUCCAGGCCUAACUGAGCUUUGCGGUGUAACCCACAAUGAGUGUCCAGUGACUUCAGACAAUCCUGCUUUUAGCUCCCUACAACCUGAGGACUUUGUAAUCUUUCAGGGAAGUGUGUGUGUGUUGGGGGGGGGUCCUAACUCCCCCCACACCCCCCACCCCCAGUUCUGGGGACUGAACCUAGGGCCUCAUACAUGCUGAGCAAUCAAUUUACAUUGCAGUCAGUAAGGCAUUGCAGGAGUGGUCAGGACCUGAGAUCCCAAGCUAGGCAUGGUGGUUUCUGCCUGUAACCACAACACUCAGGAGCGCGGGACACACACACACACACACACACACACACACACACACACACACACACACACACCACACAUACACACCAAACACUCCCAAAACAACGAUAAUGAACCAAAUGAGCUUCAGUCACGGCCUCAUCAUUGUGUGUCUGUGCCAGGCACUCUUCACAUUUGCAUACAGUGGGCCGAACCAGCUGGGCCCACAGUUGCCCAGGAUCCACAUGUGGUGGUCUCAGAUUUCUCCAGUCACUUCCAGGUGAAGCCUUGCGACAAUUUUGGGUAGCACAAUAAAGUCUCGAGUCCAGAAUUUCCUUGUUCAAAAUGACCUUUGUCGCAGGUAGUGGUCAAAGCCUCUAAUUAUAGUUACAACAGUGGUUGCUGUCCCUGUUCAGGGCAGGGACCACCUUAGGGAAGGGAGCUGGGAAACAGCUUUGCUCAUUUCUGCUCGCCUAACUGUAUUUAUUGUUUUUUUUAUCAACAUACAUUUAUACAUCUAUUAACUGGACAUAUUAGCGUGGUUCAGUGUGAUGUAUCUAUGUGUGCACACACGGUGUACUGAUCACAUCAGAUUUCUCUCACACUCUGUUCCCCACCUUUCCCUAUCCCAUGCAAUCACAGAUCUACCUCCAGGAUAACCUUUAGUUUCCACACAGGACAAGGAACAUGGGAAACUUGUUUUUCUGAAACUGGGCCCAUUUCGUCUAACAUCAUGUCCUCCAGUUCUGUUGUGUGACAGACGGACGGCAGAUCUCUUUCUUCUUUAGGGCCAAAUAAUACUCCGCUGAGUAUGCGUACCACAGUUUCUUUAUCCCCUUACCAGUUGAUGGACAUCUAGGUUGAAUCUGCUUGUCGACUGUUUUGAAUAGUGCUGUGAUAAACACAGAUGUGCAAGUAUCUCUGUAGCAGGCAGAUUAUAUUCCUUCAGGUAUGUAUCCUGGAGUGGUAUGGCAGGAUCAUGUGGUAGUUCUAUUUUUAGUUGUUUUGAAGAAGAGUGCUGAUUUCCAUAGUGGCUGGACUAGCUUACAUUCUAACCAGCAGUGUAUGAGAAUUCCCAUCAGCACAGCCAUUCUAGUGGGAAUGGGGUGGUACCUCAUUGUAGUUUCGAUUUGUGUUUCCUCAUGGCUAAUAUUGAGCAUCCACCCCCCAAAUAUUUGCUAGUUAUUUGAGCCCUCAGGGAACUAGAAAUCACCAGCCAGGGUUCAGAGAAGUGUGUGGUGUGAUGGGUAAUAUUACAUGUGGACUCCAACAUUCUGAGAAUUAGCCUCUCCCAGUCCCCCUAAAGGAACCUACAGCUGGAGGAACAUGCCUUUCCUCCAGGCAGUCCCGCUCUGCAGGGCCCUAGCCACAGGGCUGGCAGCUGUUUCUUUAGCCACAUUACUGCCUUGUUCUCUGAGAGAUCCCUCAGUCUGCCAGGACUUAACCAAUUUCCUAGAUUAAAUUUAUCCUGAUGAAUGACCUAUUUUACAUUUUGUUUUCCCGGCUAGACCCUGACUCUCCUCUGGUCAUUUAACAUUUCCCAAUCAACUACAAUCGAAAGGAGAUAUAAAUGAUAUACUACCUACAGUGGCCGAACUGCUUAAGGAGAAAGUGAUUAAUCUUUGCUCUCAUCGGUCAGAGGCUCCCAGGUGACCUGCACACAGCCACUUACCUUCACCUUAAACCCAGCAGGUGGCCGAAUCAGUCUAAACUAUGGCUGUGCUGUCUGCCCCUUGGGCAUUGCCCGGAGGAUGUGGGGGGCAGCAGUUGGUGGGGACUUCCAGGCUUGCCCAGAAGGAAACAAGAGGGCAGCCUGAUGCAGAGGGUGUGGUCGCUGACCUCGGGCUGGGUUUUUCCAGGUCUUCUUGGGGCUGGGCCUUUGUGGGAAGAAGUGGAAGUUCUCCUACCUCAAAAAAUUUUUUAAUAAAAGAUUUAUUUUUAUUUACGUGUAUGUGUGUAUGCCCCCUGUGUGAGGGAGCUGGAGUUGUGUUACAGGUGGUUAGGAGUCUGGGAACUGAGCAAGAGCCACAGUGUUCUUAACUGAACUCAACUGUCCGGCCUCUGCUGUCUCUUUUGAUCCACAAGAUUAUUUUCCAGACAGUCAGGGGAGUCCCACUUUUUUCAGUUUGUGUGUUUUAUCAGCUCCUUCUCUUCAUUCUCUUAGGUACAGCAGGAGAGCUGCUCCAUGUGGUCCCCAAUGUUUCUGUGUAGCUGCGUGCACGUGCCCACGAGUGCGUGUGCGUGCGUGCGUGCGUGCGUGUGUGUGUGUGUGUGUGUGUGUGUGUGCGUGUGUGCUCGCGCCCGUGUGUAUCCUGGCAAAAUGCCUUCAGUGUACUAUUUUAUUUAUUUUGGUUUUUUGAGACAGGGUAACCCUGGCUAUCCUGGAACUCGCUCUGAGACUAGGCUGGCCCUUAAACUCAGAGGUCAUCCACCUGCCUUUGCUUCCUGAGUGCUGGGAUUAAAGAUGUGCAUCAUCAUACCUGGUUUAUUUAUUUAUUUUGAAGCAGGGUUGUAGCUCAGGCUUGCCUCAAACUUACUUCGUAGCCUGAAGCUAAAUUCCUUGAUCUUCCUGCUUCGGCCUCUCAAGUGCUGAGAUUAAAGGUGGGUACCAGGAAGCUCUGGUUUAGGUAUAUUCUUUAAUUGUGACAGCAACCUUAAUCUAAGCCAUACCCUCUGACACUGUGGUGCAUGCUUGUAAUACCAGCACAGGAAGCUUGCACAGGACUGUGAGUUCAAGGCCGGACUGGGCUAGAUAUUGAGAUGCCGUCUCAAAAAACAAAAACAAACAACACAACAACAACAACGACAACAACCAGAACCAGCUUUACUAUCCCACGUGUCAGAUGCCAAGACUCAUCCUGACGGAAAUUCACGUGACAUGUCAGAGAUAAUGGACUCAACAUGGAUCCAAUGUCCAGGGCCUCUGUUCCUGCCACGAGAACAAUGUUUUUCCAGGCUUUCCUGAGUGCUGUGGUCCUGUGAGUCCACAAGUACCUGUGAGUCAGUCUGAGACCUGUGGGUGCUAGUGACUGCCCAGGUAGGUAGAGGUUGGUAGAAUACACCCUGCCCCCACAGGGGAACAAGUCCUCAAGGUCUUGCCUGGCCAGAAAGGCAGGUCUGGCUUAGGGGUUUUGCAGAGUGGAGGUUCUAUGUCAGGAGAAGGGCUGACCUUGCCUGUAUUUCCAUAAGGGAAGCAGAUGGUUUGGGAAAAUCCAAUUUAAAAGGAGAGAAAUUGAAUUAGUUUUCCAGGGGUCUGAUGGCCAAGACUUGAAUGGGGACAAUUGCAUUAUCUGCCAGGACUCACCAAGCCAGCGCGAAGGCUGGGGGUGGCUGCACCCCCCACGCCCCGUCACUUAGGCCUGCAGAGUGCGGGAUAGAAGAGAACAGCUUCCGUGAGGAGUCCUUAUUGGACAUGUCAUGGGACUUCUCCUUUCUCCUCAGACACGUUCUGCAACUUAGACAAAACUAAUGGCUGACCUGUUUCCACAACCAGAACCAUACUACCUGUCUUCAAACGCUUGAAUGGAGAAGGGAUCCGGGGCCACAGUGAAUUGUGGGAUUUGAGAAAGUGGGAUCUGAGAAAGCUAACUUGACUCACCCUUUUAGAUUGUCUAGCAAAAUAUACCCAACAUACAACAUUCCAUUUCCACCAUUUUAAACCGUACAACACACUAGCCCUGUUUCUCUUCCUACUAUUUGUUUGUCUGUUUGUUUGUUUGUUUAUGGUUUUUCAAGACAGGGUUUCUCUGUGUAGUUUUGCGCCUUUCCUGGAACUCACUCUGUAGCCCAGGCUGGCCUCGAACUCACAGAGAUCCGCCUGCCUCUGCCUCCUGAGUGCUGGGAUUAAAGACGUGCGCCGCCACAGUCUGGCACUAGCCCUGCUUCUUUACACCUUCCCCAAACUUCGUUAUCCCAAACAGAAUCUCCGGACUCAUUAAACAGUAACUCCCGAGCCAGCAAGAUGGACGACGACUCAGUGGGUAAAGGCGCUGGCCGCUGAGCCUGAGGACUUGAUUGAAUUCAGCCCCUGGAACCCACACAGUGGGAAGAGAAGUAACUCUCACAAGGUGUCCUUUGAACUCCACAUAUGCAUGAACUGUGGUAUGAAUUCCCCCUCCCUGGCUAAAUAUAAACAUAUGUAAUUAAAAAGUAACAACCCCCCCUCUAGUUAUUUCCUGUUUUCCUCUCCCUAGCUGAGUUCCCUCUGAUCUACUUUCUGUCUACUUUGUGUCUGGCUUAUGUCACUUACCAUAGUGUCUUCAAGGUACACUCAUGUUGCUGUGUCACA
Long non-coding RNA from Peromyscus californicus insignis, 6407 nucleotides. RefSeq lists it as uncharacterized. The transcript is spliced from 2 exons. The record is from RefSeq and is a predicted model, not a curated record. Lineage: Eukaryota; Metazoa; Chordata; Mammalia; Rodentia; Cricetidae.